GCAAACUUGGUCAUUUAGAGGAAGUAAAAGUCGUAACAAGGUUUCCGUAGGUGAACCUGCGGAAGGAUCAUUACUGAGUGCGAGUUCGUCACGAACUCAACCUCCCAUCCGAUGUUUAAUCAUACCUCUUGUUGCUUUGGUGGUCGAGUUGACUGUCGAGUCCUCUCACCACCAAUAGCCUUUCUUAAUUCUUUUAUAACCAUGUGACUGAACUAUUUUUAUUUAAUUAAAAACAAAAACUUUCAACAACGGAUCUCUUGGUUCUGGCAUCGAUGAAGAACGCAGC
Molecule: unclassified non-coding RNA, 286 nt
Filed under: uncultured fungus
Lineage: Eukaryota; Fungi
Description: partial contains small subunit ribosomal RNA, internal transcribed spacer 1, and 5.8S ribosomal RNA
Rfam family: Eukaryotic small subunit ribosomal RNA (bases 1-73)
Source: RNAcentral